RNAcentral lists this non-coding RNA (47 nucleotides) under Trichobilharzia regenti. The record is from RNAcentral. Lineage: Eukaryota; Metazoa; Platyhelminthes; Trematoda; Strigeidida; Schistosomatidae.
GCACUGAUGAAGAGUCCUAAAACUAGGACGAAACAGCUUUCCAGUAC